This 252-nucleotide ribosomal RNA is filed under the name Salmonella sp. Its description in RNAcentral is "partial 16S ribosomal RNA". It matches the Rfam family "Bacterial small subunit ribosomal RNA", at positions 1179 to 1430 of the family's 1533-position model. The record is from RNAcentral. Lineage: Bacteria; Pseudomonadati; Pseudomonadota; Gammaproteobacteria; Enterobacterales; Enterobacteriaceae.
AUGACGUCAAGUCAUCAUGGCCCUUACGAGCAGGGCUACACACGUGCUACAAUGGCGCAUACAAAGAGAAGCGACCUCGCGAGAGCAAGCGGACCUCAUAAAGUGUGUCGUAGUCCGGAUUGGAGUCUGCAACUCGACUCCAUGAAGUCGGAAUCGCUAGUAAUCGUGGAUCAGAAUGCCACGGUGAAUACGUUCCCGGGCCUUGUACACACCGCCCGUCACACCAUGGGUGUGGGUUGCAAAAGAAGUAGG